UACGUAGGGGGCAAGCGUUGUCCGGAAUCAUUGGGCGUAAAGCGCGUGUAGGCGGCCCGGUAAGUCCGCUGUGAAAGUCGGGGGCUCAACCCUCGAAUGCCGGUGGAUACUGUCGGGCUAGAGUGCGGAAGAGGCGAGUGGAAUUCCUGGUGUAGCGGUGAAAUGCGCAGAUAUCAGGAGGAACACCAAUUGCGAAGGCAGCUCGCUGGGACGUGACUGACGCUGAGACGCGAAAGCGUGGGGAUCAAACAGG
RNAcentral lists this ribosomal RNA (253 nucleotides) under uncultured bacterium. RNAcentral's name for it is "partial 16S ribosomal RNA". It matches the Rfam family "Bacterial small subunit ribosomal RNA", at positions 524 to 776 of the family's 1533-position model. The record is from RNAcentral.